This 254-nucleotide ribosomal RNA is filed under the name uncultured bacterium. RNAcentral describes it as "partial 16S ribosomal RNA". It matches the Rfam family "Bacterial small subunit ribosomal RNA", at positions 524 to 776 of the family's 1533-position model. The record is from RNAcentral.
UACAUGGGGUGCAAACGUUGCUCGGAAUUAUUGGGCGUAAAGCGCACGUAGGCGGUUCGUUAAGUCGGAUGUGAAAGCCCUCGGCUCAACUGAGGAAGUGCACCCGAAACUGGCGAGCUAGAGUACGAAAGAGGAUCGCGGAAUUCCCGGUGUAGAGGUGAAAAUUCGUAGAUAUCGGGAGGAACACCGGUGGCGAAGGCGGCGAUCUGGGUCGAUACUGACGCUGAGGUGCGAAAGCGUGGGGAGCAAACAGG